GAGCAGAAGUAUGGAAAUGGGAAUGGGGAACUGUAUCCACCCACAGAAUUGUCAACAGGAUACGCAAUUCUAGAUCUACAAAAGAAAAAAUGGACAAGGCAAAUCAGAAAGCAAGGUAUUGAAUGAAGGUUCUCAUAAACCUUGAGAAGAAGUGGGGCCAGAAGGAAGCAUUUUUCUUUCAACAGAAUGAUACAUUACUCCAAGUGUGGAGGACUAGAAUCCAGAAGAAGACUAAGUAAGCCAG
Molecule: long non-coding RNA, 244 nt
Organism: Gorilla gorilla gorilla (western lowland gorilla)
Lineage: Eukaryota; Metazoa; Chordata; Mammalia; Primates; Hominidae
Exons: 3
Source: RefSeq, a predicted model, not a curated record